This 664-nucleotide ribosomal RNA is filed under the name Ralstonia solanacearum. RNAcentral's name for it is "bacterial SSU rRNA". It matches the Rfam family "Bacterial small subunit ribosomal RNA", at positions 100 to 760 of the family's 1533-position model. The record is from RNAcentral. Lineage: Bacteria; Pseudomonadati; Pseudomonadota; Betaproteobacteria; Burkholderiales; Burkholderiaceae.
GAACGGGUGAGUAAUACAUCGGAACGUGCCCUGUAGUGGGGGAUAACUAGUCGAAAGACUAGCUAAUACCGCAUACGACCUGAGGGUGAAAGUGGGGGACCGCAAGGCCUCAUGCUAUAGGAGCGGCCGAUGUCUGAUUAGCUAGUUGGUGGGGUAAAGGCCCACCAAGGCGACGAUCAGUAGCUGGUCUGAGAGGACGAUCAGCCACACUGGGACUGAGACACGGCCCAGACUCCUACGGGAGGCAGCAGUGGGGAAUUUUGGACAAUGGGGGCAACCCUGAUCCAGCAAUGCCGCGUGUGUGAAGAAGGCCUUCGGGUUGUAAAGCACUUUUGUCCGGAAAGAAAUCGCUUCGGUUAAUACCUGGAGUGGAUGACGGUACCGGAAGAAUAAGGACCGGCUAACUACGUGCCAGCAGCCGCGGUAAUACGUAGGGUCCAAGCGUUAAUCGGAAUUACUGGGCGUAAAGCGUGCGCAGGCGGUUGUGCAAGACCGAUGUGAAAUCCCCGGGCUUAACCUGGGAAUUGCAUUGGUGACUGCACAGCUAGAGUGUGUCAGAGGGAGGUAGAAUUCCACGUGUAGCAGUGAAAUGCGUAGAGAUGUGGAGGAAUACCGAUGGCGAAGGCAGCCUCCUGGGAUAACACUGACGCUCAUGCACGAAAGC